UUAAAUAUAUAGCAUCAAACCAUUUUCAUCAUAUCAGAUCCAAAAGGGAUAUAUACAACAAGGUUAGCUAUAUUAUGGAAGGGAAAGUAAUAUUCUGCUCAAGAAAUAUAUCAAGCUUCUACAAAAUAUCAAGAACGAUUUGGAGAUCUGAUUCUCUUCCACUUUUAGUAUAUGUAUGUUGCAGCAAGUUCAUAUGUAUUAGCUAUUCAAUUAAGGAAACACAUUGAUGCAUCUAUUCACCAUAUCCAGCAACGUCAAAAUAUUAUUUCUUGGCAGCAACAUUAAAUUCCAAACAAAACAGCAACGUGUACUUACUCUCAAGAGCAACAUAGCGGGUUUUGAUCUCCGCUUCGAUCUAGUUGUCUCGUGUUUGCCGCAUUGUUUAUUUCUGGCGUUCUUCGAAGUGAAGUAAGGUGGAAGAAGAUUAUUUCUUGACAUAUAAGAUUGGGAAGCCCGAGAUCUAAUUUGUAUUUAGCCUGGAGCGGAUAAGGUAUGUAAAGCUAUCCCUUCUUUCUUUUGGCAUGUCUUAGAUAUAUGUGACGUAUGAUAUGAGCUUUUGGGGUAAUUCUAUUCAUAAGUUUCGAGUGUGAUUCAUGAUUCUUAUUCACUUCUUAAUGUUAGAACUCUUAAGGUAAUUGAGUUAUUGCCUCUCAAGUCUUUUAUACGUUGGAUAGUAGUCGGUAUGUAUAAGCUCCUAUUCUUAGAGACUCUACGGUGACUAAUGUCCUUGACUUCCAUAAGUUAUUUCAUAUUAUCUUGAUACAUGUCUAUGAUUCCUGAGGCUCUAUUUGAUAUAGUCCAUAGUGACAUUUAAAGGGUACUCAACAUGACUAUCGCCUUUGAUACUCGAGUGUUAGUUAUUCCACUUAUUCUAUUGAGUCUCAGAUGAUGAUUUAGUUGCAUGUGGUUGCUCAUGAUAUUCUACUCGUGCAUACAGCUAUCGUGUUAUUCACUGGGUCCCGGGCCGGGUAUGUAUUCGUGCACAGUUUCACUGCAUUGUUCACCGUGUCCCUCACUAGAGGGUCGGGUACGGUAUAUGUAUAUGAUGAUAUAAUUAUGGCACCGAGUCCCAUGAUGGGCCGGGUAUGGUAUAUGUGUACACGACUUUAUUCACCGAGUCCCAUAAUGGGUCGGGUAUGGUAUAUGAUAAUGAUAUGCAUGAUUUUGUUUCGUAAGGCACAGGUACAGUGAUUUCUUGAUUAUCAUACUUGUCUCCUGGAAUCUCUACUUCAGUUAUGAUCUUCCUUAAUGUAUUUCAUGCUUUAUAUACUCAGUACAUAUCUCGUACUGACCCCCUUUCUUGGGGGGGGGGGGGGGGGGGGCUGCGUUUCAUGCCCGCAGGUGCAAAUACUCGUUUUGGUGAUCCUCCAGCUUAGGAUUUCUACCAAGCUGUCUUGGAGAGCUCCAUUGUUCCGGAGCCUAGACUUUUGGUACAGAUCUUUUGAUGUAUAUAUGUGUUUAUCCAGGGGUACGGCGGGGCUCUGUCCCGUCAUAUUUUACUAUCGAUACUCUUAGAGGUCUGUAGACAUAUGUGUGGGUUGUGUAUAAGUUUUGUUCAGCUGUGUCUAUACGAUGUGCUAUGGAUAUGUUCGUCAUUAGUGGCAGCCUUGUCGGCCUGCGUAUGGUAUUGAUAUGUAGUGGCAGCCUUGUCGGCUUGCGUAUCAUAUUGACAUGUAGUGGCAGCCUUGUCGGCUUGCGUAUCAUAUUGACAUGUAGUGGCAGCCUUGUCGACUUGCAUAUCAUAUUAUGUUUUGAUUA
Long non-coding RNA from Lycium barbarum (goji berry), 1758 nucleotides. RefSeq lists it as uncharacterized. Lineage: Eukaryota; Viridiplantae; Streptophyta; Magnoliopsida; Solanales; Solanaceae. The record is from RefSeq and is a predicted model, not a curated record. The transcript is spliced from 2 exons.